This is a long non-coding RNA of Hyaena hyaena (striped hyena), 337 nucleotides long. RefSeq lists it as uncharacterized. NCBI's taxonomy places the organism in Eukaryota, Metazoa, Chordata, Mammalia, Carnivora, Hyaenidae. The transcript is spliced from 3 exons. The record is from RefSeq and is a predicted model, not a curated record.
UUCCAUACUUCACCCAGUGCUCAUCACCACAACUGCACUCCUUAAUCCCCAUGACUUGUUUGAUCAACCCCCUCCACCACCUCCCUUCUGACUGAUUCUACGAAGAAAUUUAGAAGUUUAAGUGAUGGAAAAUUGGAUGAAUAUUCUAAAACCCAGGAAAGAAAAAAAUAUAUACAAAAUCUGUGAAAGGAGAUAAAACACCUACUUUUGAAUUUGGGGACAACUACUUAACAUACCCAGAGGAGAUGAUGAACGAAUUAACAAUCCUGUUAACAAUCCUCGCCAAUGAACUCACACAUUUAUGGUCAAUUAACUUAUGACAAAGAAGCCAAGAAUA